RNAcentral lists this ribosomal RNA (627 nucleotides) under uncultured Xanthobacteraceae bacterium. RNAcentral's name for it is "bacterial SSU rRNA". It matches the Rfam family "Bacterial small subunit ribosomal RNA", at positions 93 to 755 of the family's 1533-position model. The record is from RNAcentral. Lineage: Bacteria; Pseudomonadati; Pseudomonadota; Alphaproteobacteria; Hyphomicrobiales; Xanthobacteraceae.
GAGCGGCAGACGGGAUAGUAACACGUGGGAACGUACCUUUCAGUUCGGAACAACCAAGGGAAACUUUGGCUAAUACCGAAUACGCCCGUAAGGGGAAAGAUUUAUCGCUGAAAGAUCGGCCCGCGUCUGAUUAGCUAGUUGGUGAGGUAAUGGCUCACCAAGGCGACGAUCAGUAGCUGGUCUGAGAGGAUGAUCAGCAUCACUGGGACUGAGACACGGCCCAGACUCCUACGGGAGGCAGCAGUGGGGAAUAUUGGACAAUGGGCGCAAGCCUGAUCCAGCCAUGCCGCGUGAGUGAUGAAGGCCUUAGGGUUGUAAAGCUCUUUCGUCAGGGAAGAUAAUGACGGUACCUGAAGAAGAAGCCCCGGCUAACUUCGUGCCAGCAGCCGCGGUAAUACGAAGGGGGCUAGCGUUGCUCGGAAUCACUGGGCGUAAAGCGCACGUAGGCGGCUUUCUAAGUCAGGGGUGAAAUCCUGGAGCUCAACUCCAGAACUGCCUUUGAUACUGGAGAGCUUGAGUUCGGGAGAGGUGAGUGGAACUGCGAGUGUAGAGGUGAAAUUCGUAGAUAUUCGCAAGAACACCAGUGGCGAAGGCGGCUCACUGGCCCGAUACUGACGCUGAGGUGCG